Molecule: ribosomal RNA, 301 nt
Filed under: uncultured bacterium
Lineage: Bacteria
Description: partial 16S ribosomal RNA
Rfam family: Bacterial small subunit ribosomal RNA
Source: RNAcentral
CAGUAGCCGCGGUAAUACGAAGGGUGCAAGCGUUACUCGGAAUUACUGGGCGUAAAGCGUGCGUAGGUGGUGGUUUAAGUCCGUUGUGAAAGCCCUGGGCUCAACCUGGGAAUUGCAGUGGAUACUGGGUCACUAGAGUGUGGUAGAGGAUAGUGGAAUUUCCGGUGUAGCAGUGAAAUGCGUAGAGAUCGGAAGGAACAUCUGUGGCGAAGGCGACUAUCUGGGCCAACACUGACACUGAGGCACGAAAGCGUGGGGAGCAAACAGGAUUAGAUACCCCAGUAGUCCUGCUCUUAUACAC